This 493-nucleotide ribosomal RNA is filed under the name uncultured bacterium. Its description in RNAcentral is "bacterial SSU rRNA". It matches the Rfam family "Bacterial small subunit ribosomal RNA", at positions 43 to 524 of the family's 1533-position model. The record is from RNAcentral.
CAGGCCUAACACAUGCAAGUCGGACGGGAUCCGUCGGAGAGCUUGCUCGAAGACGGUGAGAGUGGCGCACGGGUGCGUAACGCGUGAGCAACCUACCUCUAUCAGGGGGAUAGCCUCUCGAAAGAGAGAUUAACACCGCAUAAUAUCAACAGUUCGCAUGUUCGGUUGAUUAAAUAUUUAUAGGAUAGAGAUGGGCUCGCGUGACAUUAGCUAGUUGGUAGGGUAACGGCUUACCAAGGCGACGAUGUCUAGGGGCUCUGAGAGGAGAAUCCCCCACACUGGUACUGAGACACGGACCAGACUCCUACGGGAGGCAGCAGUAAGGAAUAUUGGUCAAUGGGCGGAAGCCUGAACCAGCCAUGCCGCGUGCAGGAUGACUGCCCUAUGGGUUGUAAACUGCUUUUGUCCAGGAAUAAACCUAUCUACGUGUAGAUAGCUGAAUGUACUGGAAGAAUAAGGAUCGUGCUAACUCCGUGCCAGCAGCCGCGGUAAU